RNAcentral lists this ribosomal RNA (618 nucleotides) under Sporidiobolales sp. I12F-02280. RNAcentral's name for it is "eukaryotic LSU rRNA". It matches the Rfam family "Eukaryotic large subunit ribosomal RNA", at positions 37 to 638 of the family's 3401-position model. The record is from RNAcentral. Lineage: Eukaryota; Fungi; Basidiomycota; Microbotryomycetes; Sporidiobolales.
UGCAUAUCCCAAAAAGCGGAGGAAAAGAAACUAACCAGGAUUCCCCUAGUAACGGCGAGUGAAGCGGGAAGAGCUCAAAUUUGUAAUCUGGCGCCUUUGGCGUCCGAGUUGUAAUCUCGAGAAGUGUUUUCCGCGCCGGGCCGGACCUAAGUCUGUUGGAAUACAGCGCUCGAUGGGUGACAGCCCCGUCUGUGGUUUGGAUUUCCGGUGCUUUGUGAUACACUUUCGAAGAGUCGAGUUGUUUGGGAAUGCAGCUCAAAGUGGGUGGUAAAUUCCAUCUAAAGCUAAAUAUUGGCGAGAGACCGAUAGCGAACAAGUACCGUGAGGGAAAGAUGAAAAGCACUUUGGAAAGAGAGUUAACAGUACGUGAAAUUGUUGGAAGGGAAACGCUUGACGUCAGACUUGCGUGCUGGAGUUUCAGCCCUUCUGGGUGUAUUCUCUGGCGUUGCAGGCCAGCAUCAGUUUCUGGGGACUGAGAAGGGUCGGAGGAAGGUAGCAUCUCCGGAUGUGUUAUAGCUUCCGACUGGAUUAGUCUUUGGGGACUGAGGAAGGCAGCACGCUCUUUCAUUAGGGCAAGUCUCUCGAGACUUUCGUGCUAGGAUGCUGUUAAAAGUUCCC